AUGGAGAGUUUGAUUCUGGCUCAGAACGAACGCUGGCGGCGUGGAUAAGACAUGCAAGUCGAACGAGAGAAUUGCUAGCUUGCUAAUAAUUCUCUAGUGGCGCACGGGUGAGUAACACGUGAGUAACCUGCCCCCGAGAGCGGGAUAGCCCUGGGAAACUGGGAUUAAUACCGCAUAGUAUCGAAAGAUUAAAGCAGCAAUGCGCUUGGGGAUGGGCUCGCGGCCUAUUAGUUAGUUGGUGAGGUAACGGCUCACCAAGGCGAUGACGGGUAGCCGGUCUGAGAGGAUGUCCGGCCACACUGGAACUGAGACACGGUCCAGACACCUACGGGUGGCAGCAGUCGAGAAUCAUUCACAAUGGGGGAAACCCUGAUGGUGUGACGCCGCGUGGGGGAAUGAAGGUCUUCGGAUUGUAAACCCCUGUCAUGUGGGAGCAAAUUAAAAAGAUAGUACCACAAGAGGAAGAGACGGCUAACUCUGUGCCAGCAGCCGCGGUAAUACAGAGGUCUCAAGCGUUGUUCGGAAUCACUGGGCGUAAAGCGUGCGUAGGCUGUUUCGUAAGUCGUGUGUGAAAGGCGCGGGCUCAACCCGCGGACGGCACAUGAUACUGCGAGACUAGAGUAAUGGAGGGGGAACCGGAAUUCUCGGUGUAGCAGUGAAAUGCGUAGAUAUCGAGAGGAACACUCGUGGCGAAGGCGGGUUCCUGGACAUUAACUGACGCUGAGGCACGAAGGCCAGGGGAGCGAAAGGGAUUAGAUACCCCUGUAGUCCUGGCAGUAAACGGUGCACGCUUGGUGUGCGGGGAAUCGACCCCCUGCGUGCCGGAGCUAACGCGUUAAGCGUGCCGCCUGGGGAGUACGGUCGCAAGAUUAAAACUCAAAGAAAUUGACGGGGACCCGCACAAGCGGUGGAGUAUGUGGCUUAAUUCGAUGCAACGCGAAGAACCUUACCUGGGCUUGACAUGUAAUGAACAACAUGUGAAAGCAUGCGACUCUUCGGAGGCGUUACACAGGUGCUGCAUGGCCGUCGUCAGCUCGUGUCGUGAGAUGUUUGGUUAAGUCCAGCAACGAGCGCAACCCCUGUUGCCAGUUACCAGCACGUGAAGGUGGGGACUCUGGCGAGACUGCCCAGAUCAACUGGGAGGAAGGUGGGGACGACGUCAGGUCAGUAUGGCCCUUAUGCCCAGGGCUGCACACGUACUACAAUGCCCAGUACAGAGGGGGCCGAAGCCGCGAGGCGGAGGAAAUCCUGAAAACUGGGCCCAGUUCGGACUGUAGGCUGCAACCCGCCUACACGAAGCCGGAAUCGCUAGUAAUGGCGCAUCAGCUACGGCGCCGUGAAUACGUUCCCGGGUCUUGUACACACCGCCCGUCACAUCAUGGAAGCCGGUCGCACCCGAAGUAUCUGAAGCCAACCGCAAGGAGGCAGGGUCCUAAGGUGAGACUGGUAACUGGGAUGAAGUCGUAACAAGGUAGCCGUAGGGGAACCUGCGGCUGGAUCACCUCCUUUCUAUGGA
RNAcentral lists this ribosomal RNA (1516 nucleotides) under Akkermansia muciniphila. Its description in RNAcentral is "bacterial SSU rRNA". It matches the Rfam family "Bacterial small subunit ribosomal RNA". RNAcentral also lists the same sequence under 1 other name. The record is from RNAcentral. Lineage: Bacteria; Pseudomonadati; Verrucomicrobiota; Verrucomicrobiia; Verrucomicrobiales; Akkermansiaceae.